Molecule: ribosomal RNA, 496 nt
Filed under: uncultured bacterium
Lineage: Bacteria
Description: partial 16S ribosomal RNA
Rfam family: Bacterial small subunit ribosomal RNA
Source: RNAcentral
AUGAACGCUGGCGGCGUGCCUAAUACAUGCAAGUCGAGCGAACGGACGAGAAGCUUGCUUUUCUGAUGUUAGCGGCGGACGGGUGAGUAACCCGUGGAUAACCUACCUAUAAGACUGGGAUAACUUCGGGAAACCGGAGCUAAUACCGGAUAAUAUUUUGAACCGCAUGGUUCCAAAGUGAAAGACGGUCUUGCUGUCACUUAUAGAUGGAUCCGCGCUGCAUUAGCUAGUUGGUAAGGUAACGGCUUACCAAGGCAACGAUGCAUAGCCGACCUGAGAGGGUGAUCGGCCACACUGGAACUGAGACACGGUCCAGACUCCUACGGGAGGCAGCAGUAGGGAAUCUUCCGCAAUGGGCGAAAGCCUGACGGAGCAACGCCGCGUGAGUGAUGAAGGUCUUCGGAUCGUAAAACUCUGUUAUUAGUGAAGAACAUAUGUGUAAGUAACUGUGCACAUCUUGACGGUACCUAAUCAGAAAGCCACGGCUAACUACGUG